Molecule: long non-coding RNA, 2293 nt
Filed under: Sus scrofa (pig)
Lineage: Eukaryota; Metazoa; Chordata; Mammalia; Artiodactyla; Suidae
Description: lncRNA (ENSSSCG00035051482.1)
Source: RNAcentral
AGUCCCAGCUGUUCCAGGAAAACAGAAGUGGUGCCCUCAGGAAGCUGGGCACUGAGCUGCCCCAUCCACGUGUGUCAGAGGUUCCCUGCCCAGAGUUCCCAGGAGCCUCGGAGUCCAAAGUCCCUCGUUGCUGGUGACGACGGUUCCCUGCCUGUGCUUCCAGCACGCGAUCCCGACACCAAACGGCGCAGGCCUUUCCCAUUUGUUAGCGGCUCAAGUCUCUGUCCAGAUGACCAGGAGCCGCUGACUCCAGACUGCCCACCAGGCUCUGGUUCUGCAUGUGCUUAACAGCCAACUGGGACGGACAGCUCCAGUCCCCAUGUCCCUCACCCGUGUGGCCUUUAUCAGACCUUCGCAGCCCUAGCACCAAGUCCUACCCCAAACCCUCAGCUGCCCACCCUGCAACACUGACCAAACCCUGAGUCCAGCCAUCUGGCCCUCAGAAACUGUCCCCGGCUCCAGGCCAAGCUGCCUUACAGAUGGGCCCUGGGUUCCCUAGGAAACUGCAGGCUGAACUGGCUGUCAGUGGAGGGUUUCGGCUGUGUGGUUGGCCACCUGGGCAGAAGCCUUGCAAACUGCCUUCUUACCUGGUACUUCCCCUUCCUGAGCUCCAAACUCAACCCUUUCUGAGUCACCUGGGCCUUGGACACCUGUCCCUUUGGAGUCAUUUACAUCUUAGAAACCCAGGCCUUCUAAAUCGCAGUCACCUUGGAUAUCAGAUGAGUGCCCUGCCUCAUUUCAGUCUUCUGGACUCUUAAAUAUUUCAGCUGGUUCUUGGUGUUCCUCCUGCAUAUCCUAGGCCCGUGAGGGCUGGACUCCAAGAACUGGCCACGCCAUUCCUAAAACCAAGUCUCUGAGUCGCCAGAGCCUUGGUUACUUGCCCAGAUUAACAAAACCCCGAAGCAGGGUCAGCGUCCGGCCUUCACUCACCCCUCCGCUCAUGCAUCCACUUCUCCCGUCAACGAGGGUUCACGGAGCAGGUGCUUUGGAGCCACAGCACGUGCCAGUCGCCCAGCAAGGAAUGGCAAAACAUGCUUCCCAGACUGCAGAUGCUCACAGCCCAGGGGAAGGUGUCCAAGGCGAUCUAACCCAUUUCAGCCCCAUUGAACCAUGUCACAGUGAGUUGGGCAAGUUUCACGUACCAGGUGAGCACUCGGGAAAGGCAUCUAACGCGUGCAGGGACUGUCUUCCUCAGACAGUGAGUGAUAUGGAGUCUAGGCUGAAUCCUGAAUGGCAGCAAGAGCGGGGGAAGGGGUUCCAGUGGGGACGGCACUCCGGAUGUCCCGUGUAAAAACCCACAGAGAGCGCGACUCAGAAGGGGGAAUGGAAAACAUCGCAUGACGGGUGUCACGGGAGAGGGCUGCAGGGCCUGACCGUAUCGAAGUUGGUUGCUACCCUGAGGGCGAUGGGAAGCCACAGAGGGAGUCUGAGUGGCACCCACCCCACCUGCUCUGCUCUUCACGACCAAGAGCUUCACUUGGAGACUCUCACUUUGCCAUCUGAUGGAGGAUGAGUUAGAGGGAAGGCGAGGUCUCGGGCAGGAAGAGGCGACUGUGGCAGGAUUCCAAGAAUGUGGUAAGGGCCUGCACCAAGGGACUGGUAAAAAGCACUGGGGAUGUAACAGCAGUGGGACUUGGUGGUUGACUGGGCAUGAAGAGGGUGCAGCAGGGAGGGGUCUCGAGUGAUGCCCAGGUCACCAGGAUGAUGGAUGCUGGAUGGUGGGAACGUGGUGCUGUGAAGUGUCCUUAGAGGAUAAAGGAGGAACGGGAGACAAGGUCCUCAACAGCAAGAGCAGUGCUGACUCCAAGGCGACCUCGGAACUUCGUGUGCGGAGCUGCGUCGCCAGGAGCCGCCCUGGCCAAAGGCAGAGGUCUGAGAAUGAGCAGCACGCGGAGGAAGUGGAGCCACGCGCACUGUCGAGUGAGAAGAGCAGAGGGCCGACGAUGGAGCAUGAAGAGGUGGACGUGUACAUAGUCUCCAAGUGUCUUCCGUACCUGACACUUUUCCUACUUGUGACAAACAAGUAACUUUACAACGGAGAGACCUGCCAGAUACCAGCCUAACCCAAUGAUCAAAAUUAACAUCUCCAGGAAUGGGCCAAAGACCUCCUGAUAUGACGCCCUGCGAAGGACACCACCUCCCUUCUGUAAUAUUCCUCCCCCAAGUGCAUAAUCCGAGUCUAAUCAAGGGAACAGCAGACAAAUGUGUGCUGAAGAACAUUGUACAAAACAACAGGCCUGUGCUCUUCAAAACUGUCAAAGUUAAAAAAAACAACAAAAAACAACAAAAAAAA